UGGUUAGGAAAAAGAUAAGGAGAGAAUGUUUCAAUUUGUUGUCAGGUUUUAAUCUAAUUUGCUAACCUAAAUCUGAUCUGCCAGGAUACAUUCUCUAGGCUGUAAAAGUGGUAACUGCAGUUGCUUUAAAUUGCACAAAGAUAUGUCCACUUGCAUAUUUGCUGGUGUGUUUCUGAUGCAGGUCCCUUGGUCCCUCGGCCCACUUGGAAGUAUUGGGCCUGUGUCAGUUUCAUUCAUCUAGUUGCUUUUCCAAGAGGAGAUGAUUUGUUUUUUGGGGGUUUGAAAUUUUCUCCUUUUUUUUUGUUUUUUUAAGCCCUUCAAUUACAAUUGCGUCUUUAAGAGGAAAGCUUGACGGUCAGCUCUGGUUCUCGAGUGGUGUGCAAGAUCAAAAGGCCUUUGCAAACCAACAUUUUCCCCUAUUCCUUGCCUAGUUGUAGAUUAAGCAACAAGAAACUCUCGAGCCAUGUGGUAGAAGGUGCGCUUGCACUACAGCACCUGAGUUGCUAGAGGCAUCUAGAUUUUCAAUUGUGUCUAUAGGUUGCGAGUAAGACACGUUAGUCUUCUAAUCGACUGCCAUCUAUAAUUGCUUUAGUAUAGUUUCUCUGCCGUAGUCUUUUCCUUGCUGGAGCUUGUAGUUCUGAUGUAAUUUGGGAAAUGAAUGUCUCAAAAUGGGUCUUGGUUCUGAGUUCCCUUUAUCAGAAGCGAGGCAAAAGUUUU
This 717-nucleotide unclassified non-coding RNA is filed under the name Hevea brasiliensis (rubber tree). The record is from RNAcentral. Lineage: Eukaryota; Viridiplantae; Streptophyta; Magnoliopsida; Malpighiales; Euphorbiaceae.